Lycium barbarum (goji berry) is the source of this 113-nucleotide small nuclear RNA. RefSeq annotates it as U5 spliceosomal RNA. The transcript has a single exon. Lineage: Eukaryota; Viridiplantae; Streptophyta; Magnoliopsida; Solanales; Solanaceae. The record is from RefSeq and is a predicted model, not a curated record.
AGCCAUGUAGUGAGCACAAAGCGAACUAUUCUUUCGCCUUUUUCUGAAGAAUGCCGUGUGCAUGCAAUUAGUGGCGUACGCCUUUUUCUGAAGAAUGCCGUGUGCAUGCAAUU